UCGUCGAAGGACUCGAGGCAGUGGUUGUUGUUCUUACUGUCGAUGGGCAGUAGCAGACUGGGCUUCAGCGAUACGGAGCCAUUUUUCGAAGGUCUCACCACAUGUGUCUCCACCUUUUACAGUCUGAAUCUGCCAUAUCAAGAGGAGGCAGCGUGACCAUUUGAAUUCAACCAGAGGUGUCUUGUGGAUAUCAAUCCUGAGAGGGUGACAAGGGUAAAUGACAAGAACAGAAGAAGUACCCCUACCGAGGUUUCCACCUUGCUCAGAAAACUGAUGGACUAUCGUUAAGCCCUCGUCUGAAAAUGAUGAGUAUUUUACACAUACUUUACAAUGGUUGAAAUGUGUCCAGAUGCUAUUUUUACAUUAUUGUUGUAAGUCAUGGGGGUUGUCCAGUUACCUUGAAAGGACUAAUUGAGACCUCGGUGCAAAAAGCUGAAAUUCCUGGCUUUUCCGGGUGCUUAGAGCAAACCAGCAUGAUUUGGCACCAGAUUCAGCGAGCGAAGCACGAGAGGAGAGACCUGCAUGUCGUAGUCAUGGAUCUGGCUAAUGCUUUUGGGUUAGUACCACAUAGUCUUUUAUGGGAGGCUUUUGAUUACUUCAGAGUCCCAGGUAGCAUUAAAAGCCUAUAGCUAAGGCGUACUUUAUGGAUAUUCAACUCUGUUUUACCACGGCAGAAUACACCACAACUUGAGAUUGGCAUUAUGGUGGGAUAUACAAUAUCCCCAUGCUUUCACAAUGGCAAUGGACCCUUUGGGCACAAAUUUCCCCUACAUGAAUCCUAGUAUACCCUAUCACCUAAGCACAAUCACAAAUAAGUAAAGUGAAUGUUACUUGAUUUCCUCCCUGAUUAUCAUUUACACUCUUCCUUGUACUUUACAUUCCUCUAGACAUAAUCUGCCAGGUUAUUCAUUCUCACAUACACACAUGAUACACAAGCCCAAUUCGAUAUUUUUAUUUUCUAUGAUAAUUAUUCUGUAUCUUAUUCAGCCACCUCGAAAUACUACUAGAUAACGUGUCUGCUUUUUAGAUACAUACAUGAUACACGAGCCCAAUGCAAUGUUUUUGUUUUUUUCCGUGAUAAUUCUUCUGUGCCUUAUUCCCUGACCUUUGAAAUAAAAUUUUCGAAAUACUAUUAUAUAACAUGUCUACAUUUUACUAUACAUAUGUGAUGCAGAAGUCUAAUGCAAUGUUUUUGUUUUUCAUGAGAAUUCUUCUUUACCUUAUUCCCUGAUCCUGAAAUAGGAUUAGAGUCAGUCUACAUAUUCCUAAAUCACUACUUACUAUCUUGCUUCAUGUCCCUUUAUUUUUCAAAAAAUAUUUUUUUAACCUGACAUAUAGAAUUUAAAUAAAAUGACUGUUAAACCACAAGUAAUCUAAAUAAUGUUUAACCAUGCACAAAUAAGUUACAUGAAAUACAAUGACUGUUAAACCACAAGUAAGUGAUGUGAAAUAAUAUGAAUGCUUACUAAAAAGUGAUAAAAUAUGUUAAACAAAUAAGUAACUGAUGUGGAAAAAUGGAUUUUUAUCUUUGACAUGAAAUAAAGUGAAUGUUUCAUUAUUUAAUUAUGCUUAGUAUACCAUUACUGGCAUAUGCUUUAGAUAGACAGGACUUUUCCUUCAAAUUUUCAUCUUUGGUGCCAUUAUGCUUGUAGCCUGGACACCAGACUCUCUGACUUUGCAGAGUCUGGCCUAGAUUCAUAGGCAAACGUUUAUUUCCAGGUGGGAAGGCACAGUUUGAGGUUUAAAAUCAUUGGAGUUACUCUGCCGAAGUAAACAAGGGCGAAUCAAGCUAUUCCAGACGGAGUACUGUAGGGAAAAGAAAUCGAGAGGUAGUACAUAGACAGGCGGAGCCAGGCUAAUAUGCUAUUAUAUAUGAAAGAGCUAAGAAAUUGGACCAUUAUUUUCUGUAAUGUAAGGUUGGUGUCUCUAAAACCAGCUUUCUUGUGAAAAUAGUCUAAUGUGGUUAUUAACCAACUUUUUGAAUACAGUUUUGAGAGAGGAUGAACUCAAUAGGCACUUGUUUGUAGAAAGAGAAAGACCUGUUGUAACUAACACGAAGGUCACGUUUUUUUGUUGUUACCCAACAGGAAAAUGAUAAUAACAGAAAUGUAUUGUUAUUGUAGUCUGCCGUUAAACAAGGGGAAGAUCCUGAAAAUCCUGCCAGUUGUUUCCUGUUAGUUUACAGGAAGUUAAUGUUGUUAUUUUACAUUAACUUAGAGUUAACCCUCCUAUUUUGUUUGCGGUCAAAUGUGACCAAUUGACAAUUUCUCUCUUUUCUCUCCAAAAACUCAUUGUUUUGAAAAUGAUCAAAUUUGUUUUGUGUGUUCAGAUGCCCUGUGUUAAAGUCAUGGAGCCUUGGAACA
Alosa alosa (allis shad) is the source of this 2363-nucleotide long non-coding RNA. RefSeq lists it as uncharacterized. The record is from RefSeq and is a predicted model, not a curated record. Lineage: Eukaryota; Metazoa; Chordata; Actinopteri; Clupeiformes; Clupeidae. The transcript is spliced from 3 exons.